ACACGGACCAAGGAGUGCAAGAGGCGUGCAAGUCUUUGGGUUGUUUGAGACCCUUGGGCGCAAUGAAAGUGAAGGGGGGCCACGCGUUCCCCGAGGCGAGAGCCUGCCCGCGUUGCUGGGCCCAUCGUCGACCGAUCCCGGGCUGCUCUGCGGUGGGAUUCGAGUGAGAGCAUGCCUGUUGCGACCCGAAAGAUGGUGAACUAUGCCUGAAUAGGGCGAAGCCAGAGGAAACUCUGGUGGAAGCUCGCAGCGGUUCUGACGUGCAAAUCGAUCGUCAAAUUUGGGUAUAGGGGCGAAAGACUAAUCGAACCGUCUAGUAGCUGGUUCCCUCCGAAGUUUCCCCCAGGAUAGCUGGAGCCCGGUGCAGUUUUAUCAGGUAAAGCGAAUGAUUAGAGGUCUUGGGGUUGAAACAACCUCAACCUAUUCUCAAACUUUAAAUGGGUAAGAAGCUCGGCUUGCUCGGUUGAAGUCGGGCGUUGGAAUGCCGGGGCUCCUAGUGGGCCAUUUUUGGUAAGCAGAACUGGCGAUGCGGGAUGAACCGAACGCUGGGUUAAGGUGCCCGAAUCGACGCUCAUCAGAUCCCAUAAAAGGUGUUGGUUGAUCUAGACAGCAGGACGGUGGCCAUGGAAGUCGGAACCCGCUAAGGAGUGUGUAACAACU
This 660-nucleotide ribosomal RNA is filed under the name Stelligera montagui. RNAcentral describes it as "eukaryotic LSU rRNA". It matches the Rfam family "Eukaryotic large subunit ribosomal RNA", at positions 659 to 1290 of the family's 3401-position model. The record is from RNAcentral. Lineage: Eukaryota; Metazoa; Porifera; Demospongiae; Tethyida; Hemiasterellidae.